This 1081-nucleotide ribosomal RNA is filed under the name Kontrimavichusia asymmetrica. Its description in RNAcentral is "partial large subunit ribosomal RNA". It matches the Rfam family "Eukaryotic large subunit ribosomal RNA", at positions 62 to 632 of the family's 3401-position model. Lineage: Eukaryota; Metazoa; Platyhelminthes; Cestoda; Cyclophyllidea; Hymenolepididae. The record is from RNAcentral.
AGACUAACCAGGAUUCCCUUGGUAACGGCGAGUGAAGAGGGAAGAGCCCAGCACCGAAGCCUGCGGUAGUUUUGCUGUUAGGCAAUGUGGUGUGUGGGUCGGCUCGCGGGACCAUCACUCCACUCGAAGUCCAGCAUUGAGUAUGGCAAUCACUGGAUUUGGCCCAUAGAGGGUGAGAGGCCCGUACGGGUGGAGGUUCAGACAUGUACGAUGGUUCACCAGGCCGGCCUCAGAGUCGGGUUGUUUGAGAUUGCAGCCCAAAGAGGGUGGUAAACUCCAUCCAAGGCUAAAUACUGCCACGAGUCCGAUAGCGAACAAGUACCAUGAGGGAAAGUUGAAAAGUACUCUGAAGAGAGAGUAAACAGUACGUGAAGCCGCAUGCAGGUAAACGGGUGGCGUCAAGCUGCGAGCCCGGAGGAUUCAGCUGACUGGGAUGUAGUGCACGCGCGCCUGGUGCGUCGAGAGGCCGGAGUAAGAUGUGGCGGUCCACUCCUCUGCUGGGAGUGGAGUGCGGUCGGUGUGCGCUUGCGUAUGCCGGUUGUCGCUAUGCAUGCCGGGUGGGUGCCGGAGCAUGCCGCUCGUCUGUUGGGCCACCUAGUUAGUGCAUUUUCUCCGUGGUGAACACCACGACCGGUGGAACUGCCAGUCUGCUGUGAUCAAGUCGUGUUCUCCUGGCGCGUUGCUGUGUUGGGUGGGCACGAUCGCAGACGGAGUCGGUGGACGGCGCAGUGGUGCUUCGGUACUGCCGCGUGUUAUCGUGCACUCUCCGUCGUAAGCGGUUAGUGGGGUUGACUAAGUGCUGUGACCUACUUUCCCGCUAGCCGGCGGAUCACAGUGGUGAAAGGGACUGUGCAGGGCACCGGAGUUGUCCAUCUCAUUCAAUAUGGUACUCGGCACGCACGUUACAGGUGUUAUAUACAAUCGGGAUGCGCCGCUGUCUGCCUGGUGUUGGGCCUGACUGUCGUGUUGCCUGCGAAAAGUGGGUCCGGCAGUGGUUUCGAUGCUUGGUAGUCGCAGUGUGUUGCGUAUCUCGGGUGUCUGUGGUACCGGGGAUGAAAUAGUCAGUGGUGCUGUGGUAGAC